ACUGCAAAGCUUUCAAUUCGUAAGCCUGGAUCUUCAUCAGUGCAUAUUAUUAGCACUGAUGAAGAUCCAGGCUUACGGAUCGAAAGCUUUGCAGUAAUAGAUU
Molecule: non-coding RNA, 103 nt
Organism: Paramuricea clavata
Lineage: Eukaryota; Metazoa; Cnidaria; Anthozoa; Malacalcyonacea; Plexauridae
Source: the annotation of a GenBank genome assembly